RNAcentral lists this ribosomal RNA (229 nucleotides) under uncultured bacterium. RNAcentral's name for it is "partial 16S ribosomal RNA". It matches the Rfam family "Bacterial small subunit ribosomal RNA", at positions 568 to 796 of the family's 1533-position model. The record is from RNAcentral.
UGCGUAGGCGGAUCAGUAAGUCAGUGGUGAAAUCUUUCGGCUCAACCGGGAAACUGCCAUUGAUACUGUUAGUCUUGAGUUCGGCUGAGGUAGGCGGAAUGUGUAAUGUAGCGGUGAAAUGCUUAGAUAUUACACAGAACACCAAUUGCGUAGGCAGCUUACUAGACCGACACUGACGCUGAGGCACGAAAGCGUGGGGAGCGAACAGGAUUAGAUACCCUGGUAGUCC